Molecule: long non-coding RNA, 206 nt
Filed under: Olea europaea (common olive)
Lineage: Eukaryota; Viridiplantae; Streptophyta; Magnoliopsida; Lamiales; Oleaceae
Description: long non-coding RNA (OEUR_LNC003690)
Source: RNAcentral
CUUUUUCUUCUCGGUCCAAUAUUUGUUCUCGAAGGUCUUCAUUUUCGUGUAUCUGAUCUCGACUUUCUUGAUCCGGUUGAAGAGAGUGAUCACGAUGUAGGAGAGUUUGUCUACUCCAGUCUAUGACCUACCGUUUGCUUUGCUAAGUAGUACACCUAGGACAAAGAAAAUAGAGGUGGCAUAGCGAUCCCUACCAGACUGGACCC